Odocoileus virginianus texanus is the source of this 1358-nucleotide long non-coding RNA. RefSeq lists it as uncharacterized. NCBI's taxonomy places the organism in Eukaryota, Metazoa, Chordata, Mammalia, Artiodactyla, Cervidae. The record is from RefSeq and is a predicted model, not a curated record.
UAGAAUUAUGUGAAGAACAAUAAAAUCUGUCCUAGAAGACUUUUAUGCUUUUCUUGUAGAAGUGGCUAAAGUUUCCUCCCCCUUUCAUUGUUUAAAUUAAUAAUUAAAUAAACCAAAAGUGCUGAAAUGUCUGAAGGGUUGACAGGGGAGUCAAACAGAAGUGUGAAGAUGGCAGUGGCAAUCCUGCGCUGUUGGAUGCGAACCAUUUUUGCUCUUUUGAGGAAGGAGAAUAUGAACUAUUCCAACUGAUCAAUUGCCAUAGACUUCAGGAAGAUGAGCAUAUGAAAGAGAAUGUCAUGCUUUUUAAAGAAAUUUUAUACAAGUAAUCACAUCAGUCUUACCUGGAGAAUCCUAUGAAUCAGUUAACAAAUGUUCUGUUACUAGUCUUUGCGAGUUUGACAAACUAAGAAUGAGUUACUUCUAUUGAUGACUACUUUGAAAGCAAAAAAAGAUACCACAAAUGGAAUUUACAUAUCUGAAACCAUGAAAAUCAUCAAAAACUCUUUUAUAGAAAAUAUUUGCAAUUAAUGCUAUAGUGCUACAAUUUUAUUUUGAACUUGUUUGAAGGAUUAAAGAUGAGGGACUGUAGUACCAAGAUGCUUUUCACAAAGAAUAUUUAAUGUAUAUUUUUAAAAUUUUAUAUUGAUUACCCAAUUUGAAAAUAUGCCUUUUAAAAGAAUAACUUCAAAGGAGAACAGCAUACACAAAAAUUAAUCCCCUAAAUAUAAUUCCAUGGGUAAAAUGUAUGAAAUGUAUACAUUUGAUUGACUUUCUUAUGAAGUGAGUAUAGCCAUUUACUAUUCACUGAAUAUAUUGAUUUUACUAUAGUCUAACAGGAGUUAAAAUACAACCCAAUGUGAGAAGACUGCAAAUUUCUAGAAGAGACACUAGGAAACAAAUAUUUUUCCUUAUUUUCUUGAUUGAUACAUUUUGCAAGCUAUGAAUUCACUUUUUAUUUCUGGACAGAAAGAAGGGUAAAGUUCUGGAGAGCUCAAUGAAUAUCCCUUUUUGACCAUUAUUCAAUAUAUUCAGAGUUUUAGUUUAAUGGCACGCAUUUUAGCUACAUCUGAUAUUCUUAUAGUGGUGCACCAGGAAUUCUUGAGUUGUAGAAUGACCAUUCCCUAUUCCCAAGUAGACCUGACCACUUCCCUUUUCUCCUGCUAUAUCCCUUUUUAUAGUUAUCUAUCAUAUGUUAUGCACAUUAAUUUACAUAUUUAUCUUGCUCUUUAUCAGAUUGAAAUGUGAAUAAGCUAUAUCUUCAUAGCCCCAGGUCUUUUCCAGUGCCUCAUCACAAGCGUGUGUUCAGUAACUGAUUUUUAAAUGAUUACGUGACUAAAUAAAUGCUUUAGCAAACCAUA